Molecule: ribosomal RNA, 462 nt
Filed under: uncultured bacterium
Lineage: Bacteria
Description: partial 16S ribosomal RNA
Rfam family: Bacterial small subunit ribosomal RNA
Source: RNAcentral
AAUGAACGUUGGCGGCAUGGAUUAGGCGUGCAAGUCGGGGGAAUCCCAGCAAUGGGGGAACCGGCGUAAGGGGCAGUAAGGCAUGGGUACCUACCUUGGGGUUCGGGAUAGCCAUCAGAGAUGGUGGGUAAUACCGGAUGACGUCGUGAGACCAAAGAUUCAUCGCCCUUAGAGGGGCCCAUGUGAUAUUAGCUAGUUGGUGGGGUAACGGCCCACCAAGGCGAAGAUGUCUAGCGGGUGUGAGAGCACGACCCGCGCCACUCGCACUGAGACACUGGCGAGACACCUACGGGUGGCUGCAGUCGAGGAUCUUCGGCAAUGAGCGCAAGCUUGACCGAGCGAUGCCGCGUGAGCGAUGAAGGCCUUCGGGUUGUAAAGCUCUUUAGUGGGGGAGAAAAGCCGCAAGGUGUGAUCUAUCCCAAAAAUAAGCACGGGCUAAGUUCGUGCCAGCCGCCGCGGUAA